Molecule: ribosomal RNA, 405 nt
Filed under: uncultured bacterium
Lineage: Bacteria
Description: partial 16S ribosomal RNA
Rfam family: Bacterial small subunit ribosomal RNA
Source: RNAcentral
AUUGAACGCUGGCGGCAGGCUUAACACAUGCAAGUCGAACGAGUGGCGGACGGGUGAGUAAUGCUUGGGAAUCUGGCUUCUGGAGGGGGAUAACGACGGGAAACUGUCGCUAAUACCUCGUACCAUAGGAUGAGCCCAAGUGGGAUUAGGUAGGUGGUGGGGUAAUGGCCUACCAAGCCGACGAUCUCUAGCUGGUCUGAGAGGAUGACCAGCAACACGGGGCCUGAGAAAGGGCCAGGACUCCUCCGGAGGGCAGCAGUGGGGAAUAUUGCGAAAUGGGGGAAACCUGACGCAGCAAUGCGGCGGGAAUGAGGAAGGCCUUGGGGUUGUAAAGUUCUUUCGGUAACGAGACGUUAAUCACAGAAGAAGCACCGGCUAACUCCGUGCCAGCAGCCGCGGUAAUAC